UCCGAGUUGUAAUUUGUAGAGGAUGUUUUGGGUACCGCCCCGGUUUAAAUUUCUUGGAACAGAAUGUCAAAGAGGGUGAGAAUCCCGUCUUGGACCGGUGGUAGGGCCUGUGUAAAACUCCUUCGACGAGUCGAGUUGUUUGGGAAUGCAGCUCAAAAUGGGUGGUAAAUUUCAUCUAAAGCUAAAUAUUGGCCAGAGACCGAUAGCGCACAAGUAGAGUGAUCGAAAGAUGAAAAGAACUUUGAAAAGAGAGUUAAACAGUAUGUGAAAUUGUUGAAAGGGAAGCGCUUGCAACCAGACUUGAGCGCGACGGUUCCCCUAGCCUUUUGGCUAGGUUACUCCGUCGUGUCCAGGCCAACAUCGGUUCUGAGGGUCGGUCAAAGGCCCCGGGAAUGUACCUACCCACGGGUAGACUUAUAGACCGGGGUGUCAUGCGGCCUCUCGGGACCGAGGAACGCGCUUCGGCUCGGAUGUUGGCGUAAUGGUUGUCAGCGACCCGUCKUGAAACACGGACCAAGGAGUCUAACAUCUAUGCGAGUGUUUGGGUGUCAAACCCGGAACGCGGAAUGAAAGUGAACGGAGGUAGGAAGCUUCGGCUGCACUAUCGACCGAUCYUGAAGUUUACGGAUGGAUUUGAGUAAGAGCAUAGCUGUUGGGACCCGAAAGAUGGUGAACUAUGCCUGAAUAGGGUGAAGCCAGAGGAAACUCUGGUGGAGGCUCGCAGCGGUUCUGACGUGCAAAUCGAUCGUCAAAUUUGGGUAUAGGG
This 766-nucleotide ribosomal RNA is filed under the name Phialophora verrucosa. RNAcentral describes it as "eukaryotic LSU rRNA". It matches the Rfam family "Eukaryotic large subunit ribosomal RNA", at positions 137 to 922 of the family's 3401-position model. The record is from RNAcentral. Lineage: Eukaryota; Fungi; Ascomycota; Eurotiomycetes; Chaetothyriales; Herpotrichiellaceae.